CCCUACCUAUGUAUGAUGCAAACAACAACUUACCAAAUAUGGCAGACCGAUACUUGUCGGUAACUUUUUUUCUCAUCAUACAUAGGUGCAUUGCGCCACUCAUAAGCAAAGGUAAAAAUGAAAAGCCAAAACCAGAGAACAAGAAAUAUGAAGAUGUGGUUGUCGUGUCAAUGACCCCUAUCAUCAAAGAGAAAUUUUUAUACCUCAUCAUAUCAACUGCCAUUCAAUAAAUAUCACUCAGUUAUUUUUCUUUCAGAGUCAUUCAAAUAAAGAUGACCUCAUAUUCACACAAUUUAACAUGAAAGUC
RNAcentral lists this long non-coding RNA (307 nucleotides) under Elaeis guineensis (African oil palm). Its description in RNAcentral is "long non-coding RNA (EGUI_LNC006363)". Lineage: Eukaryota; Viridiplantae; Streptophyta; Magnoliopsida; Arecales; Arecaceae. The record is from RNAcentral.